UGGCUGGGAGGCUCUGGAUGGGAACCAAUAACAACAGAACAGAGAGCAGCUGCUCUGUUCUCCCCUUGGGACCAUGUUGUCCACCGCACUCGUUUUACACAUGGGGAAACUGAGGCCCAAAGGGUUGCUCACCAGUCAAGGUGUCUAGAAGAGUCUGCAGCAGCGGAGGCUGAGGCCGGCACUCCAGAAGAGGCGGGAACACUGGCUGGGCGGCUCAGUGGCCCCACCGGCUUCUUCAAGGUGAGUGGGCUUAGCUCCACAGAGUCCACAUUCUCUCCGCUUAUACUUUUGACUCUAAGGAAAGAAAAGGAAGCCGGACAUGGAGCUGCACGGCUGUAAUCCCAGCACGAAGGAGGCUGAGCAAGAGGACCACUGCGGGUUCAAGGCCAGUCUGGACUACAUAGAGAGCUCAAGGCCAGCUUGUGCUACAAACUGAGAUCCUGUCUCAGAGAAGGAAGGAAGAUAGUGGCCUUAAACGACCACGGACCCCAAAUUCAGAUUUUUCCAGUAUAUCCAGAUGGCUCUGUCCUGCCCACUGAGGACUCACAAGAGGGUAAGAUGAAGAUGUGUAGGCCACGUGCUUGCAUGUCUGACGGGCGCUGUCCUCAUCAAGAAAGGUGAACAUAUCAAAACGUCAUUUGUUGUACCACACAGGUUACACACCAGGCUCCCGGUCUCCAGGGCUAAAGGUUGAGGGUGUGUGCGUGUGUGUGCGUGAGUGUGUGUGUGUGUGUGGUUUGGUUAAUCAUUUUGUGCGAUAACCACAUCUAGAUGCAAAAAGGAGUAAAAAUAAAAUUUAGUGAAAGAGCAGUUUCUUAAUUUGCUGACUACUCGAGGACAUUGAAGAUUUUUCAUGUAAAUAUUAUUUUCCCACCUAUAAAAUUAUAUUUGUUCACUGUCAUUUAAAUAACCCUAAAAUAAUUUUUGUGGCUAUGGGCAUUAAACUCAGGGCCUCAUAUAUCGCCCAUAAGUGGUCUACCACCGUGCUACACCCACAGUCCUUUUUCAUUUUUUUAAACUUUGAGACAAGGUGCCGGCUGCCCACAGAGAGGGUCCCUGCAGAUGCUGGCCUCACCAACACGUCCACUGUGCUUGUGAAUUUGAACGCUUUACCUACAGAGGUUUUCAGAAAAACGGAGACCACAAUGAUGUGCCUGAAUCCUGAAGCCUCUUCCAGGACAGAAAGAGGAGAAGGUAGGUGGGUGAAAGGGAAGGGUUGAUAAGGACAGGGUUAGUGUCAGUGAUGCCGUUAGCACUGGAGUUGUGAGGAUUAUCACAAUGAAAAGGAGGAAAAUGUUUCUGAGAGAUAGUGGGGAUAAGGGAGCAGGAAGUGUGGACAGCAAGCCUGUGAUGGGUGAGUGUUAUGGCUUGGGUCUAGAUGUCCCCUGAAGCCUCAUGUGGGCAUAGCUUGGGCUUUUUCAGAGGUGGCUCAAUCUAGAGUAUGUGAUGCUGAGAUUAAGGGUGUGUGAUUACUAAAUCAGUCCACUGAUUGGUUUGGUGCUGCCGUAACCUGGUAAGAAUAUAAGAGGGGGCAGACAGAAGCUGCUAAGGUCACUUGUUGGUUUCCUUGUUGCUUUGCUACCUUUUGCCCACCGUGAACGGUUUCUCUUCUGCUCUACCACCCUACCUUGGAGCCAGGUGAUUGAUUAUGGACUGAAACCUCUACAAACUGUGAGCUAAAUAAACCUUUCCCACUCUAAAUUGGGUGUCGGGUAUUUUGUCUCAGCAAGAAGAAAAGUAAUUAAGAUAGUGAGGGCAUGGAGGUAGAGAAAUAAUAUAGAUUAUUCUAAUGAAGACUUUUAAAUGCCUGAUGUUGGUUGCAAAGGUGAGAUGGCGAGCUGACCUUCGCAGAGGCUGGUCACGCUGGCGAGACGAUGAGUCACUGUGGCAGUGAUCACCGAGGUGACAGAGAAGGCCCACGGGCCGGCAGAUGUUGCAGGCGUUGGGUGAACAAUCCAGCUUACGGGGCCUGGCUCUGGGCCACCAAUCCUGCAGCUGAGGAAGAGCUGAUUGUCCUCUCCGUUAGAGAUGAAGGUAAAGAGGAGCUGAAGAUGAUACUUGCACAAUCCUGGACCUUGACAGAAACCUGGUUCUGCCGCCAUUUCUGCAAUGAAACCCUAUUCUGAAAACGAGGGAUUCACGGGAAAUGAAAGAUUACAAGUCCCGCAGUCCCAGCAACUUGGAAGGCUGAGGCAGGAAGAUCAUUUUGAGCCAGGGAGCUCCAGAUUAGCUUGGACAACAUAUCAAGACUGCCUGUUAAAAAUCAUUAAACAAUACAAAACAACUAAACAAAAAACUUGGACAAGAACAGAAUCCAGAAGAACACUCUGCUCCUGAAUCUGACUUGGUCCAAGAAGUAAAGAUAAAAAAGCUUUAAUGGGGCCAGGAUUUAGCUCAGUGGUUCCGCUGCCUGCCUCGAAAGUGCAAGAUCCAGAGUUGGAUCCCCAGUACCAAAAAAAGGGUAACUCAGGUUUUGUGUAGCUUGGAAUAGCCAUCAAGAGGUAGAAGUCACUGUCAUAGGUUUGCUUCCUAUAACUGUCAGGGCUCAGUCUGAAGGAGGAAAAAGGAAAUUCCCACUGUCCUGCAGAAUCACGGGAAGGAAAUAUCACCAUAUUUGAGGAUGGCACCAGUUAAGGGCAAGUUUAAGUUUCAAACAACCGAAUUCUUUCUAGUUAGUUUAAUCAGGAAAUGAAUAUAUGGGCUGAGAUUGUUGCUUAGUGCUAGAGCACUUGCCUAGCACAAGUGUUUGAUCCUCAGCAUCACAAAAAAAGGGGGGGAGAGGGAGGAGAGAGAAGGAAGGAAGGAGAGAAAGAGAGAAUGAAUGAGUAAAAUGUACUUAAACAUGCCAGAGAGGUAGGAAAAACGCCCAAUGUUUUGGGAGUUGCAGGAGUUCCUCUGUGAAAACACCCUUGCCACUGCUCAGUACGGCUGAUGCUCCGAACUGGAUGAAGAAAAGAAAAAGAAGUGGAUGCAGGGCCAGGGAUUUAGCUCAGUGGUUUCACUGCCUGCUGCGCAAGCACAAGGACCCGAGUUCUAUCCCCGGUACCAAAAAAAAGAAGAAAUGGAUGCAGACAUCCCACUUCUGCACCGCGGGAGAGCAGGGUGGAGGAUGAAGGCUAAGAUGGGGUGAAGUUGAGGGUUAGGCCUAGAGUUCUGGCAUCAGGCCCCUGCCCCUAUAGUCAGUGCAGAUGAGAGGAGCUCAUUCACUCAUUCACUGCACAAAUAGGUAUGGCCUGUGUCCUAUGUGCCGGGAACUGUGCUAAGCGCCAGGGACAAAGUGGUGACAAAAACAAAGACACACCAUUUUUGUUCUUGUGGUGCUUUGAGAUUAUUGGGUGAGACAGUGCUGGAACAAGGGAAGCCUGGGGAGAUGAAGAAGCCAGGGUCUGCUGAGAAGGGCAGGAUGAGAAGGAAGCCGAGAAGGGCAUGAACUCUGCAGAAGGCAGCCUCAGCUCAGCCCUGGCCCAGAGUCCAGCACCUCGAGGCUGCCGUCCGUGGCACCUGUGCAAGAGAAACUUGCUGUUUGUCCUUACUGAUGCCCGUAGCCUGGACCCUGCACACCCUGAGAGAUCCUCAACCAUUUCAGAAAUGAGCAGUCGUGGUUCUCUCACAGCCAAGGGACAGGAGGGAGUGAAGCAAGUUCACCAAGCCCAGGUGGUAAAGGCUUAGGCGGAUUUGGGGCCCACUGUGCAGAGUGGCUGCCUCAGUGCUGCCAUCUGGAAAGGGGAACAGAUGGGAUGGCUCAGAUUAUGUGGAGAACACUCGUCACCGCGACCUUUUGCCGAGUUGCCUGAGGAGCAUGUGUUCUGUGUGUGGCCUCACGGGACACCGGCCACUUCAUCCUCCGAAGUCGGAAGCCUCCAUUAGCGGUGCUGUGCAGAUGUGAGCAGCCCUUGGACUCCAGCCCUGUCCCCAGACCUUCCCUUCUGUGGCUUGGCUCCCAGUCUUGCCCAGGCCCAGGCUGUCACCCGCAGAUGCUGGUUCACUCCUUCUCCAAAGUGCUGCUCUGCUUCCCUCUGCAGCCAUCAUAGGCAAGGAUCUUGAAGUUCUGGAGCUGGCACUGAAGAGGAAUCUGGACUGAAGAGCCCAGCCGGGACUAGUGACGGGAGGCUCCAGGCAGUGGGGCUGCAGGGGCAGGAGAGACGCCCAUGGGAGGGGACACAGCAGGUCUGAACAGUGAGCAACAGAAACUACCUGUGUCCAGGGAUAGAGAACAGGGAGCUUGGUGGUACAAGUGUGAACUCUCCACCCGAGACCCUGCUUUCUGGGACCUUCCCUUCAUUAGGUGUGACAGUGGUAUGGUGAUAAUGUAAAGUGUAUGGGUCCUCACUAGGUAUUCAUGGGUUAAUCAGAAUGAUGCCGAGGUCUUGAUUUUAAAGCUGGGGGUGGGGGAGAUGCACACAAACAGUAUUCUUCACAGGUCCAUAAUUGUUGGAGCUAGAUAAUGGGUACAUAGGGGUUUAUUAUGUAAUUCUCUUUACUUUUCCAUGUCUUUGCAUCUUUCCAUUGCUUAACAGAAAGAAAGAAAGAAAGAAAGAAAGAAAGAAAGAAAGAAAGAAAGAAAGAAAGAAAGAAAGAAAGAAAACCUUUACAUAUGCUGUCAUGGAGGGAGGAAGACAGGGAAGAAAACCAGUUUGUUAUCUUUCUAUCUCUCAGAGUUAGAAAGAAUGGAAUUUUUAGAGGAAUCUCAAAGCCUUCUUUGUACAUCUUUACAUCCUUUCACAAUUUUAAUGAGCAUCAAUUCCUUUUGUGAUUUAAAAAAUAAUUUUAAAAACUAUAUUACAGGGCUGGGUGUGGUAGUGCAUGACUGUAAUCCCAGCAUUCAGGAGGCUGAGGCAGGAGGGUUGCCAUGAGUGGGAGGCCAGUCUAGCUACAUAAGGAGUUCAAGGCCAACUUGAACUAUAUAGUGAGAUUCUGUCUCAAAAACAAAACAAAACCAAAAAAAAAAAAAACAAAAAAACACCACA
Long non-coding RNA from Heterocephalus glaber (naked mole-rat), 4967 nucleotides. RefSeq lists it as uncharacterized. The record is from RefSeq and is a predicted model, not a curated record. Lineage: Eukaryota; Metazoa; Chordata; Mammalia; Rodentia; Bathyergidae.